UGUCUGUCUCCCUCAUGAAUUCAUAGAUAGUAGAGAGAGGGCAAGGAACAGAGGAAUAGCCAAAGCACCAGGGAGCAAAAACAGGAGUGUUCUUCAAGUUUUUGGCUCUUCAUCAACCAUAGCACCAAGAGAAAGAGAAUGAUGGCCAAGGAGGGAGCUGACUGAAGCUUAAGAGGGAGCUACGUUCCACUCACCCAACUGUUCUUCGAGUUUCUUUGCUAGUUUAUUCAAUUUCUGUUAACACAACUACCACCACAAGCAAAGAGAGGUUUGGGCUCAAGAGAAAAACAGUGA
Arachis ipaensis is the source of this 294-nucleotide non-coding RNA. The record is from RefSeq and is a predicted model, not a curated record. NCBI's taxonomy places the organism in Eukaryota, Viridiplantae, Streptophyta, Magnoliopsida, Fabales, Fabaceae.